UACGAAGGGUGCAAACGUUGCUCGGAAUUAUUGGGCGUAAAGGGCGCGUAGGCGGCUUGGCAAGUGGAUGGUGAAAUCCCUCGGCUUAACCGAGGAACUGCCGUCCAAACUGCUUCGCUUGAGACCGGGAGAGGUGAGUGGAAUUCCCAGUGUAGCGGUGAAAUGCGUAGAUAUUGGGAGGAACACCAGUGGCGAAGGCGGCUCACUGGACCGGUACUGACGCUGAUGCGCUAAAGCGUGGGGAGCAAACGGG
Molecule: ribosomal RNA, 253 nt
Filed under: uncultured bacterium
Lineage: Bacteria
Description: partial 16S ribosomal RNA
Rfam family: Bacterial small subunit ribosomal RNA
Source: RNAcentral